RNAcentral lists this ribosomal RNA (724 nucleotides) under uncultured Cadophora. Its description in RNAcentral is "eukaryotic LSU rRNA". The stretch from base 310 to 463 matches the Rfam family "5.8S ribosomal RNA". Lineage: Eukaryota; Fungi; Ascomycota; Leotiomycetes; Helotiales. The record is from RNAcentral.
CUUUNNUCAUUUAGAGGAAGUAAAAGUCGUAUNUCCGUUUCCGNAGAGNGAACCUGCGGAAGGAUCAUUACUAGAGCAAAGGACAGGNUUCNCCCCACAGAAGCUUGCUUCGUGGAGGGCUACCCUACUUCGGUAGGGUUUAGAGCCGUAGCACCUCUCGGAGAAGUGCUGUCCUGAACUCCGCCCUUGAAUAAAUUACCUUUGUUGCUUUGGCGGGCCGCCUAGCGCCAGCGGCUUCGGCUGUUGAGUGCCCGCCAGAGGACCACAACUCUUGUUUUUAGUGAUGUCUGAGUACUAUAUAAUAGUUAAAACUUUCAACAACGGAUCUCUUGGUUCUGGCAUCGAUGAAGAACGCAGCGAAAUGCGAUAAGUAAUGUGAAUUGCAGAAUUCAGUGAAUCAUCGAAUCUUUGAACGCACAUUGCGCCCUCUGGUAUUCCGGGGGGCAUGCCUGUUCGAGCGUCAUUAUAACCACUCAAGCUCUCGCUUGGUAUUGGGGUUCGCGGUUCCGCGGCCCCUAAAAUCAGUGGCGGUGCCUGUCGGCUCUACGCGUAGUAAUACUCCUCGCGAUUGAGUCCGGUAGGGUUUACUUGCCAGCAACCCCCNANUUUUUACAGGUUGACCUCGGNAUCAGGUAGGGGAUACCCCGCUGAACUUAAGCAUAUCAAUAAGCGGAAGGNAAAGGCNAAAUUCNCGGCCCCUAAAAUUCAAUCCNCCCCUANAGGG